CACCGUAUCUUGCAACCCAUGUGAAUAAAAGGCCGUAGAAACAAUAUCAGCAGUGACUUCAGAUAAAGGAACAGCUUCAGGCCAUCUGGAGAACCGAUCAAUCAUAGUAAGACAAUACCGAAAACCUUGACAGACAGGAAGAGGUCCAAUUAAAUCAAGAUGUAUAUGUUGAAAACGUUGAUCUGGAACAGAAAUCUUGACAGGCCAAACAAAUUUUUGUUGAAUUUAUUUUAAAGUCGCUCUACCACUAGGAUGAGCCAAACCGUGAACAAUAUCAAAAAUUCUUCUUCGUAAACGUAAAGGAACAUAAGGACGAAUAUUCUCAGUGGAACAAUCACAAAAUAUAGGUGAAAUUGAACCAUUAGCAAGAUCUUCAAGAGAAACAAUGACAGGCAAAGAAAUAGCAUUAAUUCUUGAAAAUAAAUCAGCAACAAUAGGAACUUGAUAAUAAGCCUUGACCAAGUCAAUUUUAGAAUAUAUUCUUACCAUGUAAUCCCAUUGUUAAAUCUUGAAUAUGUGGGAGAGGGUAACGGGACCAUGUGCAGUGGAGAAGACCAACAGCUACUAGAAGGCCUACAAAUACGUACCUUGCUCAAUCAUAAGGUUAAAUUCUUCACGAGCAAAUUUAAGCUUCUCAGGAGAAAGUCUUCGUGGAGUAACAGAAAUAGGAGGUCCUCUUGUAACAAUAUGAUGUUCAACUUGAUGUAACUUGUUGGAAGUCAAAGGUGCAAAAUGCGUUAAUUCAGGAAAUCUUGCAAGGAUUUUAUGGUAUUAAUCCUGGAUCCAUUAGCAGCAAACAGUUUAAAAGAAGAAAUUAUUUAUUCAUUUGUAAGCUUGAUAUUAGUAAACACGUAUAACUUUACAAA
Long non-coding RNA from Monomorium pharaonis (pharaoh ant), 866 nucleotides. RefSeq lists it as uncharacterized. The record is from RefSeq and is a predicted model, not a curated record. The transcript has 5 exons. Lineage: Eukaryota; Metazoa; Arthropoda; Insecta; Hymenoptera; Formicidae.